CAGAUAGCAUGCCAUGUCUAAGUAUAAGCAAUUAUACCGUGAAACUGCGAAUGGCUCAUUAAAUCAGUUAUCGUUUAUUUGAUAGUACCUUACUACUUGGAUAACCGUGGUAAUUCUAGAGCUAAUACAUGCUAAAAACCCCAACUUCGGGAGGGGUGUAUUUAUUAGAUAAAAAACCAAUGCCCUUCGGGGCUCCUUGGUGAUUCAUAAUAACUUAACGGAUCGCAUGGCCUUGCGCCGGCGACGGUUCAUUCAAAUUUCUGCCCUAUCAACUUUCGAUGGUAAGGUAUUGGCUUACCAUGGUUUCAACGGGUAACGGGGAAUUAGGGUUCGAUUCCGGAGAGGGAGCCUGAGAAACGGCUACCACAUCCAAGGAAGGCAGCAGGCGCGCAAAUUACCCAAUCCCGACACGGGGAGGUAGUGACAAUAAAUACUGAUACAGGGCUCUUUUGGGUCUUGUAAUCGGAAUGAGUACAAUUUAAACCCCUUAACGAGGAACAAUUGGAGGGCAAGUCUGGUGCCAGCAGCCGCGGUAAUUCCAGCUCCAAUAGCGUAUAUUAAAGUUGUUGCAGUUAAAAAGCUCGUAGUUGAACCUUGGGCCUGGCUGGCCGGUCCGCCUCACCGCGUGUACUGGUCCGGCCGGGCCUUUCCUUCUGGAGAUCCUCAUGCCCUUCACUGGGUGUGUUGGGGAACCAGGACUUUUACUGUGAACAAAUUAGAGUGUUCAAAGCAGGCCUUUGCUCGAAUACAUUAGCAUGGAAUAAUAGAAUAGGACGUGCGGUCCUAUUUUGUUGGUUUCUAGGACCGCCGUAAUGAUUAAUAGGGAUAGUCGGGGGCAUCAGUAUUCAAUUGUCAGAGGUGAAAUUCUUGGAUUUAUUGAAGACUAACUACUGCGAAAGCAUUUGCCAAGGAUGUUUUCAUUAAUCAGUGAACGAAAGUUAGGGGAUCGAAGACGAUCAGAUACCGUCGUAGUCUUAACCGUAAACUAUGCCGACUAGGGAUCGGGCGAUGUUUCUAUCUUGACUCGCUCGGCACCUUACGAGAAAUCAAAGUUUUGGUCUGGGG
Molecule: ribosomal RNA, 1065 nt
Filed under: Nigrograna mycophila
Lineage: Eukaryota; Fungi; Ascomycota; Dothideomycetes; Pleosporales; Nigrogranaceae
Description: SSU rRNA
Rfam family: Eukaryotic small subunit ribosomal RNA
Source: RNAcentral